GUGUGGACGCCAGUCUGCAUGGAGCCGACCUUGAAAUACCACCCUUUAAUGUUUGAUGUUCUAACGUUGGCCCGUUAUCCGGGUUGCGGACAGUGUCUGGUGGGUAGUUUGACUGGGGCGGUCUCCUCCUAAAGAGUAACGGAGGAGCACGAAGGUUGGCUAAUCCUGGUCGGACAUCAGGAGGUUAGUGCAAUGGCAUAAGCCAGCUUGACUGCGAGCGUGACGGCGCGAGCAGGUGCGAAAGCAGGUCAUAGUGAUCCGGUGGUUCUGAAUGGAAGGGCCAUCGCUCAACGGAUAAAAGGUACUCCGGGGAUAACAGGCUGAUACCGCCCAAGAGUUCAUAUCGACGGCGGUGUUUGGCACCUCGAUGUCGGCUCAUCACAUCCUGGGGCUGAAGUAGGUCCCAAGGGUAUGGCUGUUCGCCAUUUAAAGUGGUACGCGAGCUGGGUUUAGAACGUCGUGAGACAGUUCGGUCCCUAUCUGCCGUGGGCGCUGGAGAACUGAGGGGGGCUGCUCCUAGUACGAGAGGACCGGAGUGGACGCAUCACUGGUGUUCGGGUUGUCAUGCCAAUGGCACUGCCCGGUAGCUAAAUGCGGAAGAGAUAAGUGCUGAAAGCAUCUAAGCACGAAACUUGCCCCGAGAUGAGUUCUCCCUGACUCCUUGAGAGUCCUGAAGGAACGUUGAAGACGACGACGUUGAUAGGCCGGGUGUGUAAGCGCAGCGAUGCGUUGAGCUAACCGGUACUAAUGAACCGUGAGG
This 760-nucleotide ribosomal RNA is filed under the name Escherichia coli. Its description in RNAcentral is "partial 23S ribosomal RNA". It matches the Rfam family "Bacterial large subunit ribosomal RNA", at positions 2162 to 2916 of the family's 2925-position model. Lineage: Bacteria; Pseudomonadati; Pseudomonadota; Gammaproteobacteria; Enterobacterales; Enterobacteriaceae. The record is from RNAcentral.